AACACCCAGAAACAUCUGGAAGUAUCAAGUACAUGUGAGGAAAUUUUGGAAAAAAAAUCAUCUUGUUGUACUAGUGAUGAAGUUAUUGAAAUUUUCUUGAAACCAGAUGAAACACAGAGAAUAUGCAAUUUAUUGGAUCCUCCACACAGUGGUUGGAGAAAGUUAGCGGAGGUGAUGUUAGGAUUUAAUGAUAAGCAAUGUGAUUCAAUCUUAAAUUUAAAUCCUGAAAGUCCUACCAAAGCAAUUUUAAAGAAAUUUCAGAGCUCUUAUGAAGGAAAUCAAGUCGAGGGACUGAAAGUAUAUUUAGAGGCUGCAGGAUUAAAUGAAGCUGCAGCUACAUUAGACGAACAUUGUUGAACUUUUUGUAAAUGUUUUCCGAAAGAAGAUUUAGAGCUGUGAUUCUCCACUGGCGGCCCGGCACCGGUGUGUUUAAAAAGUUGACUGGUCUUCAGAGAUUUUGCUCAUACAUAUUAAGAAGAAUAUAAUUGAGUAUUGCAUACAUUUGGAAAAGCUUUUUAUGCUAUCACAUGGCAGUUAUUGUUUUUAAAAAGGAUACUUUUUUAUCUGUUUUUAUCUGAAGACUUUUUAUUGUUGCAGCAAAUGUUACAUAUUUUUAUGAAAAUAAAAGUGAUAUAUUUU
Molecule: long non-coding RNA, 639 nt
Organism: Uloborus diversus
Lineage: Eukaryota; Metazoa; Arthropoda; Arachnida; Araneae; Uloboridae
Exons: 3
Source: RefSeq, a predicted model, not a curated record